Molecule: ribosomal RNA, 492 nt
Filed under: uncultured bacterium
Lineage: Bacteria
Description: partial 16S ribosomal RNA
Rfam family: Bacterial small subunit ribosomal RNA
Source: RNAcentral
AGUGAACGCUGGCGGUAGGCCUAACACAUGCAAGUCGAACGGCAGCACAGUAAGAGCUUGCUCUUACGGGUGGCGAGUGGCGGACGGGUGAGGAAUACAUCGGAAUCUACUUUUUCGUGGGGGAUAACGUAGGGAAACUUACGCUAAUACCGCAUACGACCUACGGGUGAAAGCAGGGGAUCUUCGGACCUUGCGCGAUUGAAUGAGCCGAUGUCGGAUUAGCUAGUUGGCGGGGUAAAGGCCCACCAAGGCGACGAUCCGUAGCUGGUCUGAGAGGAUGGUAGGCCACCAUGGAACUUGGAGACCGUCCCAACGACUACGGGAGGCAGCAGUGGGGAAUGUUGGACAAUGGGCGCAAGCCUGAUCCAGCCAUACCGCGUGGGUGAAGAAGGCCUUCGGGUUGUAAAGCCCUUUUGUUGGGAAAGAAAAGCAGCAGGUUAAUACCCCGCAGUUCUGACGGUACCCAAAGAAUAAGCACCGGCUAACUUCGUG